This 253-nucleotide ribosomal RNA is filed under the name uncultured bacterium. RNAcentral's name for it is "partial 16S ribosomal RNA". It matches the Rfam family "Bacterial small subunit ribosomal RNA", at positions 524 to 776 of the family's 1533-position model. The record is from RNAcentral.
UACGUACGAGGCGAGCGUUAUCCGGAAUUACUGGGCGUAAAGCGCGCGCAGGCGGACCAUUAAGUUGGGCGUGAAAUCUCCCGGCCUAACUGGGAGGGGUCGCCCAAGACUGGUGGUCUUGAGGACAGCAGAGGUGGGUGGAAUUCCUGGUGUAGUGGUGAAAUGCGUAGAGACCCGGAGGAACACCGGUGGCGAAGGCGGCUUCCUGGCCUACUACUGACGCUGUGGCGCGAAAGCUGGGGGAGCGAACGGG